Molecule: ribosomal RNA, 1242 nt
Filed under: metagenome
Description: bacterial LSU rRNA
Rfam family: Bacterial large subunit ribosomal RNA
Source: RNAcentral
UGAGUACAAGAUGCUACGGCAUUGAAGCAGUCUAUGUCAUACUUCCAAGAAAAGCUUGCAAUGUCAUAAACAAAUAAUGCCUGUACCAUAACCGACACAGGUGGGUAGGUAGAGUAUACUAAGGGGCGCGAGAUAACUCUCUCUAAGGAACUCGGCAAAAUGACUCCGUAACUUCGGGAGAAGGAGUACCUUAUUUUAUAAGGUUGCAAUAACAAGGUCCAAGCAACUGUUUACCAAAAACACAGGUCUCCGCUAAGUCGUAAGACGAUGUAUGGGGGCUGACGCCUGCCCAGUGCCAGAAGGUUAAAGAAGUUGGUUAGCAUUAGCGAAGCUGAUAACUGAAGCCCUGGUGAACGGCGGCCGUAACAAUAACGGUCCUAAGGUAGCGAAAUUCCUUGUCGGGUAAGUUCCGACCCGCACGAAAGGCGUAAUGAUUUGGAUACUGUCUCGGAGAGGGGCUCGGUGAAAUAGACUUGUCUGUGAAGAUGCGGACUACCUGCACCUGGACAGAAAGACCCUAUGAAGCUUUACUGUAACUUGAGAUUGAAAUUGGACUUUAUUUGCGCAGUAUAGGUGGGAGACCUCGAAAGUAUUCUUGCGGGAAUAUUGGAGUCAUCAGUGAGAUACCACUCUUAUAAUGUUAGAUUUCUAACUUUGUAUCAUUAUCUGGUCAAAGAACAGUUUCAGGCGGGCAGUUUGACUGGGGCGGUCGCCUCCCAAAUGGUAACGGAGGCGCACAAAGGUUUCCUCUGAACGUGUAGAAAUCGUAUCUAGAGUGUAAAGGCAUAAGGAAGCUUGACUGUGAGACCUACAAGUCGAGCAGGGACGAAAGUCGGUCUUAGUGAUCUGACGGUGCUGAGUGGAAAGGCCGUCACUCAACGGAUAAAAGUUACUCUAGGAUAACAGGCUGAUCUCCCCCAAGAGUUCACAUCGACGGGGAGGUUUGGCACCUCGAUGUCGGCUCAUCGCAUCCUGGGGCGGUAGUACGUCCCAAGGGUUGGGCUGUUCGCCCAUGAAAGCGGUACGCGAGCUGGGUUCAGAACGUCGUGAGACAGUUCGGUCCAUAUCCGGUGUAGGCGUUAGAAUAUUGAGAGGGGCCUUCUUUAGUACGAGAGGACCGAGAAGGACAUACCUCUGGUGUACCAGUUAUCGUGCCAACGGUAAACGCUGGGUAGCUAUGUAUGGAGAGGAUAACCGCUGAAAGCAUCUAAGUGGGAAGCCCACCUCAAGAUAAGUAUUCUC